This 76-nucleotide transfer RNA is filed under the name Coriobacteriaceae bacterium. Its description in RNAcentral is "tRNA-Met". It matches the Rfam family "tRNA". Rfam says of the family: Transfer RNA (tRNA) molecules are approximately 80 nucleotides in length. Their secondary structure includes four short double-helical elements and three loops (D, anti-codon, and T loops). RNAcentral also lists the same sequence under 4 other names. The record is from RNAcentral. Lineage: Bacteria; Bacillati; Actinomycetota; Coriobacteriia; Coriobacteriales; Coriobacteriaceae.
GGGCCUAUAGCAUAACGGUCAAUGCAGAGGACUCAUAAUCCUUGGAGUGUAGGUUCGAAUCCUACUGGGCCCACCA